Molecule: long non-coding RNA, 3401 nt
Organism: Sapajus apella (tufted capuchin)
Lineage: Eukaryota; Metazoa; Chordata; Mammalia; Primates; Cebidae
Exons: 2
Source: RefSeq, a predicted model, not a curated record
UGAGGACGCUCCCGGCUGCGAGCCCGCCGGGAUCAGCUGGGCGCUUGCCAGUAGGGGCGAGUCUAAGGGCCCCUCCCCCGCGCCCUGCGCCCACCUCUGGCCCUGAGGGUCGAGUGGGGAGCCCCACGACGCUCUUACAGCCUUCCAGAUGCACGGGCUGGGAAACUGGGGCUCAGAGAGGUCAAGUGGCUUGCCCAAGGUCACCCAGCGAGUGAUGUGGGCAGAAGGUACCAGGGCCGGGCUGGGAAGGGCGCCCGAGUUCGCCCCAGCCGCGCUCUGCGGAAAGGCAGGGGGGCCGCCCGCCCUGCUCCCUGAAGCUCCCUGGACUUCUCUAAGUUACGUCGCGUUGCUGUCCCCUCCAUUUACAAGAGAUCUAAACUUGCAAGAGGCAGAAAAAUGACACAGUUAAAAGCAAGGCCUCUGGGGUUCAACAGCCCAGAUUUGGAAUCGUGGCUCUGCUGCUCACUCGCUGAGACCUUGAGCCAGUUUCCUCAUCUCGGGAUCCUCAUCUGUCAAGUGGCAAUGACAACCAAACCGAUUUCCUAAGAAGUUCACAAGGAUUAAAUGUGUUAACUCUUAAUGAAAUACCCAAAACAGCAUUCCACAUAUCCUAAAUGCUGAGCUAAUCUUUGCUUUGCGUUUUUCCCUGCUGCAGGACCAUCCUCUGGGCCUUCUGGGCAUCCUGAGCCUCCCUCGCCUUCCCUUCAGCUGUAGCUCCCAGGGACACUGGGCAAACACCCAUCUGUGGAAUCCUCGCUGCCGGAAACAGUGCUUCCCCACGGGCCGACUAAGUGAAGGACCUGGGGCCCAGAGUCAGGCUUGUAGGCUGCUUGUGGCUGCUUUUCUCAGUCCCGGGUCUGUGACUGGCCUCUCAUCCCCAGAAACAAAAGGGCACUUCCCAAACCACCCUCACCCAGAAGGGAAGGAGUACGGAUGGCUAUAUCCCUGGCUUCUACCCGCCUCGAUAUGCCACUUGGUUAAUUAACCUGGAGGCUGAGCUUCUCAGUCCCCACCCCCAAAACCUGAGUUCUGCCAGUAGUACUGUGGGUCAACAGGAGGGACUUAUGGGACAAUGUCUUUUCCUUUUACAACUGAAGGGAAGCACACACUUCUGGCUUAUACUCCUGUGCCACAGGACUUACAUUCAAGGGUGGGAUUCCCUAACAGCUGCUUGUAAAGGGGGAAAGAGGGAUGGAGAGUAUCUGGGAUGAGCACAGAAGAGGAGAAGGGGGGCCUGGAUGCCCAGAGGCUUCAUCGGAACAUUUAGACGCUCUCUAUUCUAACAGCUCUUCUCCUUCUGUGUCUUCCAUUCAGACCAUCUGCCCCAGUGACAGUCCAGACCUUGAAGACUCACUGUUUUUAUUAAGCACCGAUGAAGGGUCAGCCCUGUGUUUACAACUUUGCAUUAGCUAUAGUUCUCUCAACACCCUAUAGGGAAAAUUCUAUUUAUCAUCACUUACAAAGAAGGAAACUGAGGCCCGGAGCAGUUUAAUACCACCCUGCGUAAGGUUCCACAGCUGUCAGCGGGGGAUCCCAGGCCAGCCUGACUCUCUGACCCUUCUUUCUCUCCCUUCCUGGUUCUGCCUUCCCAGGUAGCAGUCUCGGACACUCCUGACUGGCUCUCUGUCCCGCCCCGAUCUGAGCUGGCAGAAUCAGUCUACCAGCAGCUGGGGAGGAGGGCUAUGCACUGAGAAACUGACAGCAAGGGUACUGAAUCUUCUGCUCCAGACCCUCCUUCUCCGAGAAGCUUCCAAGAGGGCAGGUGCCAAGCACUGGGAGUGUUCAUGCAGGGUCCUCCAGGGAGGAGGGAGAUGAAUGUUUCUGUGAGAUGCUCAGGAAAUUGUCCCCACCCACCAACCUGGCUGAGCUAUUGGCUGUGGAGCACCUCCAUGCCAUGCUGCAUACUCUGCUGAUCUUCAUGAGAUCACCAUCCUGCAGGCAUUAACACUCAGAUACUUUUGAAAAGGAGAAAUCAGGUCUUGGGAAAGGUGGUGAUUUUCCCGCAAGCAGCUGCAGAUGGUACUCACACUCAGGUCUUUCAGCUUCCAGGUCAAAAUACUGGUGUAUUUUCUGUAGAAUACACCAGUACUCACUGAGCACAUACUAUGUGCAGAGACUGCUCUGGGUCCAGGGGUCAUAGCCAUGGGCAGGAUGGACUUCUCCAAAGGCCCUUAAGGCCAAGGCUCUUGGGGCUGCUCACUGCAUCUGCAGAGUUUGUGGUUACACUGACCAGAUGCUCGGUCUAGACUGGAAGCCCCAUGCUGCAAUAAAGAACUGUGGUUGCUCUUUCUUUUCACGUCUAGGUCUGGGACUAGCCUCUCAGCCCCAAGACAGAAGGGUACUUCCCAGACUCACUUCACCCAGUGACACUGGGCCAUCUCAGAAAACACAGCAAGUCCCUGCAGCCCCAGCUCCCUGCCAUGGCACUGUCUGCCAGAAUCCACACCUGCCUCCUCUUUCCCCACCUGCUGACUCCUGGUGAGAGACAGAUGUGUCCCUGACCUUUAUGACACUAACGGCAGUAAGUCAGACAGCCACAGCAACUUAAUGUCAUCAGACGAGACACAAUGUAGGGAGUGUGUCUAUGAGGAAGUUUUCAUAUUUGCACAGAACUGCUGCUCACACUACCAGCUUCCUCUUCCUCUUGUUUAAGAGUGGUGAAUCCUAUCCCAGUUACUCCAAAACUCUGCAGUGCCAUACUGUGAAGUCCUAAUCUGACUGCACCGAAGGCCAGAGAAACCUCAGCUUGGCCCCCAGUUGUCCUGCUUACUGUCCUCCUCACAGGAUCAUUCCGAGGUUGAAACUGAAGCAUUAAGCUCACGCAGGUAUCAUGUGCAUUUUAAAGCUUUUCCACUCUCUGUUGUCUCUACUCUACCAGCAUUGUUUGUGUUCCUGUUCACGCGUAACACAGCUGAUCCUGGUCAUCUGUGGACCCCUUUGCCUUCACACUGUCCUCAGAGCCUGCUCAGCUGCCCAACCCCAGUGCCUGGUCCAGCGGUCAGUUCACAGCAAGCACUCAACGUUCAUUCUGGAUGCAUGUCUUCUGAAAUGCAGUCCUGGAACAGCACUGCUACCCAGCCACCUGAGCUCAAUGCGUUUGUCAUGUAAGACAGGCACCAAAAGCUGGCACAAACUUACCUAGGAAUCAGUCAUUUAUGUGUCUCACACACACACACACACACACACACACCACCCAAUGUGAGGGUGGAUGGAAUCAGACCUUCAAUCCCAGUCACUCACAUACAUGAAGACACCUAUCCUUCUGUCUCUGUACCCAUCUGUCCUACAAAUCUAUACCCUCCUCUCAGUAUUUGGUAGAUGGAAACUUCAGUUUCUCUCGCCAGAUCUCUUCUUUGACGAAAGAAUCCAGUCCUCCUCGAUGUCUUUCUGCAGCUUAAAAA